RNAcentral lists this unclassified non-coding RNA (4496 nucleotides) under Hevea brasiliensis (rubber tree). The record is from RNAcentral. Lineage: Eukaryota; Viridiplantae; Streptophyta; Magnoliopsida; Malpighiales; Euphorbiaceae.
AAACGAGGGGAAAAAGAAACCCCAAUUAACCAAAAUUUGCCCUUUGAAGAAGCGCAAUGAGGGAAGAAGUCAUCAGUUCCGGAGGGACCAUGGAUCCCACUCCUGCCGCGAGGUACCAGAUCACUCUUAUCUCCCUCCUUCCUAUCCUCACUGCAUGUACUCACUCACUCUUGAUCUCUUAUUCGGAGUUUUAGUUGUUACAGAUUGCAAUUCACUUCGCUCCUCUGAAAUUAGGGUUUCUGAAAUUUUCCUCUUUUAGUUGUUUCUGCCUCUGCUUCUUUUGGGCUCCUUGAUUUUUGGUUUCUGGAUAGCUGAGGAAAAGAAACGGGACCCUAAUUUUAUAGAUUCAAUUCAGCUGUGCUCAAAACAGUGGUCUUUGUAAUUUGUUUUUCUAUUAUUAUUAUUUUACUUUUCUUAGGAGCCCAACAUGGUAGUGACUAGUGAGGUAAUAAGGACCUUUACAAUUUAGUGGUUUGUGGAGGAAUUUGCUGUGAAAGGCGUGUACGUUUGGUUCCUCUGAAAGUUGAGGAAGAGAAAGGAAAUAAAAUAAAAAAUAUUUUUUUUUUUAAAUCAUGCAAUUAUGUAAAUCUGUGAUGCAUUUUUGUUCUCAUGAAGUACAAUUCUUUAUGGAUGUUGCCUUCCUCCAGUUCCGCUGGGGCAUCCUCACCUGGUGUUCCAGCAAAUGUCGGUAGUGUAGAGAGGUCCAGUCAUGCGCAUACUUCCAAAGCAGCCUCUCUGUCUGUUGCUGGCUCACAAUUACCAAGGACCUCCUUGAGCACCAGUGCUGGUGGUUCUGUUCUGGGAUCAUCAAGGCCUUCAUGUAGGCCAUGGGAAAGAGGGGACCUGCUGAGGCGUUUGGCUACUUUUAAGCCGUCGAAUUGGUGUGGAAAGCCUAAGAUUGCUAAUUCAUUGGCUUGUGCUCAAAGAGGUUGGAUGAAUAUUGACAUUGAUAAAAUUGUGUGUGAAUCAUGUGGUGAAUGCCUGAGUUUUGUUUUGCUACCAUCCUGGAUCCCUUCUGAAGUUGAAAGUGCUAGUGAAGCAUUCGCCAAGCAGUUGGAUGAUGGCCACCAAGCCAGCUGUCCUUGGAGAGGUAACAGCUGUCCUGAUAGCUUGGUGCAGUUCCCUCCAACUCCUCAAUCUGCUCUAAUUGGAGGAUAUAAAGACAGAUGUGAUGGGCUCUUGCAAUUUCAUUUUCUUCCUAUUGUUGCUGCAUCUGCAGUUAAGCAGAUGCGGGUUUCUUGGGGUCCAGUGGUUGAUCGCUUUUUGUCCCAGUCACAGAAUUUUACUUCUGGAGAAGGAGACUUCAAGUCAGAGGGCAUACCAGAACUUGAGACCUCUAGAGAUGGGAACUCCUGUUUGUAUUCUCAUGCCCAAAAGCUUAUAAGUCUCUGUGGGUGGGAACCAAGAUGGCUCCUAAACAUUCAAGACUGUGAAGAACAUUCCACUCAAUCAGCUCGCAAUGGGUGUUCUUUUGGGUGUUCUUUUGGUCCUGCCCAGGCCCAAGUCCAUCUUUCACAUGAUCCUGGUCUAAGCAAGAAAGCGCAUUCUGCUUCCGCAAAAAAAGACGCUGGAAAGAAUAAACUGUUAGCUGAGUCAAGAUGUGAUUCCAGGUCACCCUUACUAGAUUGUAGCUUAUGUGGUGCUACUGUUAGGAUAUUGGAUUUCUUGACUGUUCCCCGACCUGCUCGUUUUCCUUCCAACAACAUUGAUAUUCCUGAUGCUAGCAAAAAAAUGGCACUGACACGUGGGGUAAGUGCUGCCAGUGGAAUUAGUGGUUGGGUUGCUGCUGAUGAUACAGAUAAGGAACAUACCGAAGACCGUGAUGAGGUGGCAACAACGGACAAGGGUAAAUCACUGCAAAACACAGAAGUUGAUCUGAAUCUUACUAUGGCAGGAGGCUUACCUUUUACUCAGGCAGACAGGGUAGCAAUACCUGAGAAUGUUCAUGAUGUUGAAAUGGGGAGAGAUUUAAUGAUAGGUCAGCCUGCAGGCAGCGAGGUUGGUGAUCGUGCUGCUUCAUAUGAAUCUCGAGGGCCUAGUUCUCGUAAGCGGAGCUUGGAAAUAGGUGGCAGCUCAGAUGAUAGGCCUCACUUGAUGCAACCUGCUGAUAGCGUAGAGGGAACUGUCAUUGAUCGCGAUGGUGAUGAAGUCACAGAUGGUAGACAAUUUUCAGCUGGACCUUCAAAACGCGCUCGUGACUCAGAUUUUUUUGAUACACACUGUUCACCAUAUCAGAGAGACUCAUCUGGUGCUGGUCCUAGCCAUUCAGUGGGUAUGGAAAUUCAUGCAGAUGGAAACAGAGUUAAUUUGUUUCGCCAAGGAAGUGACCAAGUUUUUGGAAUCCCAUCAGCAAGGGAUUCGACACGUGCAUCGUCUGUCAUUGCAAUGGAUACAGUCUGUCAUAGCGCAGAUGAUGAUUCUAUGGAAAGUGUUGAAAACUACCCUGGAGAUAUUGAUGAUGUUCAUUUCCCCUCUUCCAGUAUGUACGGGAAUCUGGACAUGAAUGAGACGUCUGAACUGAAUUACAGCAAUCAAGCCCAGCAAAGCAUUUGUUUCAGACGUGCUGCUGCAGUAGCUCCUGGUGAAAUGGGUGUCAGUAGUACAAAUGAUGGUGAAGAGAUUUUCAAUGCAGAAACAGUCACAGCUCAGGCUCGGGAUGGUCCUAGUUUUGGUAUUAGUGGAGGCAGUGUAGGCAUGUGUGCUAGUCAUGAAGCUGAAAUUCAUGGGGCUGAUGUUUCUGUCCAUAGAACUGAUAGUGUAGUUGGUGAUGUGGAACCCAGAAUAGAAGAUGUUGAAAAUCAAGGUCAGACUGGUGAAUCUGCCCCUGAUCCUGGAUUAAUGGAUGAGGUUGUUCCUGAUGAAACAAACAGGGAAGAUCCUCAUGGUGAUAGCCAGGAGAUGUUGUCUCGAUCUAUAGAAAGGGCUGAUAGUGGCUCAAAAAUAGAUGGUUCUACUGCAAAGGCUGAAUCUGUUGAAAGUGGUGAAAAGGAAGCAAGUCAAAGCUGCAAGUUAGCUCUAGAUAGCAAUGUCCGCCCUUCUCUUUCCUGCAAUGCAAAUAUGUACUCUGGCUAUCAAACAACUAAGAAAGGGGUCAGCAAGGCUGGAAAGUUAUCCUCUACAAACAAUUGUCCAUGCAUGGAGUCAGAUUAUGCUAUUGCCAAUGGGAUAGGGCCUCCAAAAGGUGAAAGCAACUAUGAAGAGGCUAUAGAGUUUGAUCCAAUUAUUCAUCACAAUCAGUUCUGUCCAUGGGUGAAUGGAAAUGUUGCUGCUGCUGGUUGUAGUAGCCGUGGUUCUGGCAACAAUGCUGAUGCAGAUGCACUCUGUGGGUGGCAGCUGACGUUGGAUGCGCUGGAUGCACUGCGAUCACUUGGGCAUAUUCCAAUUCAAACAGUACAAUCCGAGUCAGCAGCAUCAUUAUACAAGGAUGAUCAUCAAACUCCUGGUCAAAAGCUCCUUAGACGGCAUUCUAUGAGCAGAAGCCAUGGGCAUUGUUGAUAUUUAAUCAGAAUAGCAAAGGUGCUUGCAAUUAUUAAUAAGGUUGCAUCAACUCAACUGAAAUUUGCCCUGAGCUUCCUGCGGUAAUGCACCUUUUUGCAUGUAAUUGUCAUUGACCAGAAUGAAGCAGUUUGUGCUGUCCCAUUUUUAUUUGAUGAAUUGAAUUGGAACUACUCAAGAGAGAGAGGAUUGAAACUCCUUUAAAAUUCCAUUAAGUUGUUUGAAAGAACAAAAUACUUGUAUGUUGGGUUGAAUUGAAUGUACACAAGUAAAAUAAAGAAAAUUUAGGGAUGUUUUUGGGUUUUGAUAGCUGGAUUCUUAAAGUGAAGUCAUGUCAUUAUGGAUGGAGAAGAAGACCAAAAGUGGAGAAGAACCCAAGUUUGGAGGACAUAAAAAAAAAAGGAAAUGAACGAUGCUGCCAUGUCUGUAGGAACGUAUGCGGAAUAAACAAGCAUAUAUUUGAUUAGAAAAUCUCCAAUUGUCUGUCCGUGUUGUUGGGUCAGCCGAACAGACUUGAUCAUUCAAAAUUCAUAACCUCACUAUGGAUCUCUCUCAAAAUCCAAUUUUUAUGUGCGAAGUUCUUUUCAAGAAUGCAAUAACAUAAUUUAUCAAGUAUAAUUUCUGAGGCUAAUGCUGUGUAGGAUGAAACUGCAUCAGUAUUGGAAGUGCAAUCUGGUACUUAUUUUUCUUAUUGGAUGAAGAGCUGCUGCCGGUGAAACUUCUAGCAAUCUUGGCUUUAUUUCCUUACCAUUUUUCCCUCUUUACGGUUGGAUAAUUAAUAUUAUGUUAAGAAAAAUUUGAGGUGCUGGUUUAUGCAGCACAAUUUGCCCGUUCUUGUUUGUUAACUACUUAAAUUUUGCCUAUUGUUAUUGUUACUACCUCAUUCAAUCAAUGAUGUGAUGAACCACCAAAUUUAAUCAAGGUCCUUUGGAUUUUAAUUGCUGUAAUUUUUGUUUGGUUCUCUAGUAGUAAAGUUUGGAAACCAUAAUGGAAGUCGCAAU